GGGGGGAGCAAGCGUUGUUCGGAUUUACUGGGCGUAAAGGGCGCGUAGGCGGCCCCCGCAAGUCGAUUGUGAAAUCUCCGGGGUUAACCCGGAAAGGUCACCCGAUACUGCGGGGGUAGAGUGCAGAAGGGGCAACUGGAAUUCUCGGUGUAGCGGUGAAAUGCGUAGAUAUCGAGAGGAACACCUGCGGCGAAGGCGGGUUGCUGGGCUGACACUGACGCUGAGGUGCGAAAGCUAGGGGAGCGAACGGGAUUAGAUACCCCGGCAGUCCUAGCCCUAAACGAUGAGUGCUUGGUGUGGCGGGUAUCGAUCCCUGCCGUGCCGAAGCUAACGCAUUAAGCACUCCGCCUGGGGAGUACGGUCGCAAGGCUG
Molecule: ribosomal RNA, 372 nt
Filed under: uncultured bacterium
Lineage: Bacteria
Description: bacterial SSU rRNA
Rfam family: Bacterial small subunit ribosomal RNA
Source: RNAcentral